Molecule: unclassified non-coding RNA, 407 nt
Filed under: fungal sp.
Lineage: Eukaryota; Fungi
Description: partial internal transcribed spacer region
Rfam family: Eukaryotic small subunit ribosomal RNA (bases 1-46)
Source: RNAcentral
AAGUCGUAACAAGGUUUCCGUAGGUGAACCUGCGGAAGGAUCAUUAAUACGUUCUAAACAAACGUUUUAAACUCCAAAAUUUUAAUAGUGGAAAUCUAACUUCCGGAUGCAUUUGUAGGGAGGGGAAGAUUAGACCUUAAAAAAGUCUGGUUUUCUCCUUUUUGAAAAGGAAACUUCAUGCACUUCUUGUGAGUGUGUGACACUUCAGAGUAGAGCAGUGAGGUGAAAACUUCGGUUUUGGUUUCUGAAAUACAUCUGUAUCCGGUUAUUCUCUGUUCUACACCCUUUUUAUUAAACAAUAAACCCCAUGUACAACAACUUGAGCUAACAAAUUUUGUUUUCUCUUUGAGGAAAUGAAGUAAAUCUGAACUUAAGAACAACUCUUAACAAUGGAUAUCUUGGUUCUC